Molecule: ribosomal RNA, 497 nt
Filed under: uncultured bacterium
Lineage: Bacteria
Description: partial 16S ribosomal RNA
Rfam family: Bacterial small subunit ribosomal RNA
Source: RNAcentral
GAUGAACGCUGGCGGCGUGCCUAAUACAUGCAAGUCGAGCGAACAGACGAGGAGCUUGCUCCUCUGACGUUAGCGGCGGACGGGUGAGUAACACGUGGAUAACCUACCUAUAAGACUGGGAUAACUUCGGGAAACCGGAGCUAAUACCGGAUAAUAUAUUGAACCGCAUGGUUCAAUAGUGAAAGACGGUUUUGCUGUCACUUAUAGAUGGAUCCGCGCCGCAUUAGCUAGUUGGUAAGGUAACGGCUUACCAAGGCAACGAUGCGUAGCCGACCUGAGAGGGUGAUCGGCCACAAUGGAACUGAGACACGGUCCAGACUUCUAAGGGAGGCAGCAGUAGGGAAUCUUCCGCAAUGGGCGAAAGCCUGACGGAGCAACGCCGCGUGAGUGAUGAAGGUCUUCGGAUCGUAAAACUCUGUUAUUAGGGAAGAACAAAUGUGUAAGUAACUAUGCACGUCUUGACGGUACCUAAUCAGAAAGCCACGGCUAACUACGUG